UCCAUCCACAAUCAAGAAUAUAUAAGUAAKUGCAGGUAAAUAAAUAGUAGGUAGAUUUMCCAAGGUCCUUAGUAAUCGGUCCCUUUGGGGASGGGGUYKGGUCCGUCCUAUCUUCCCACUGGUCGUAAUCCCAGAGGCUGGGGAAUCAGCCGCGGGGAUCCAGUACUUUGACUAAAAAAAAAUUUUAAAAGCAGGCGUAACUCUCCUCUGAAUUMCUUAGCCAGGGAUAAAGGAAUUAGGCUUYGUUCUUGUUUUGUKGGUUUCGCUAGGACGAAGUAAAGGAUGAUAGGGGCCAGUGGGGGCCAUAGUAAUUAAAUGUUAGAGGGGAAAAUUUUGGAUUUUAUAAAAGCUGACCAACUGGAAAGCAUUUKCCAAGGGAGUUUUUCAUAAUCAAGAAAGAAAAUAGGGGGGAUGAAGGMGAUCAGAAUCCGUUGUAGUUUUUACCCAUAAACUAUCCGACCUGGGAUCCGGAGAAUGUGCAAGUUGACUGCGUUGGGCACCUURYGAGAAAUCAUAAGGCUUGGCUCCRGGGGGAGUAUGGUCGCAAGGCUGAAACUAAAGAAUGACGAAGUUGAAAGGGWAU
This 583-nucleotide ribosomal RNA is filed under the name uncultured eukaryote. RNAcentral describes it as "partial 18S ribosomal RNA". It matches the Rfam family "Eukaryotic small subunit ribosomal RNA", at positions 658 to 1188 of the family's 1831-position model. The record is from RNAcentral.